Molecule: long non-coding RNA, 222 nt
Filed under: Elaeis guineensis (African oil palm)
Lineage: Eukaryota; Viridiplantae; Streptophyta; Magnoliopsida; Arecales; Arecaceae
Description: long non-coding RNA (EGUI_LNC022966)
Source: RNAcentral
UUGUAUGAGGUUGUUAUAUUGAUCCCAAGAAACUACUCAUGUUGUGGAUGGAGGGUUCUCUUAGAUUGAUGGCAGUGGUGAAUUCAUCGAUGGGGCGUUAUUGGCUUGUCUACCAUUAGAGCAUUAUGAUGCAUUUGAUGCACCCCUUCGUGUCUUCAUUGUGACUAAUGACGAGCUCUCUCCUCUCAGAACAGGAUCUUGAAAUUAGUCGAGGGCCCUUCC